UGGUGAAUAUUGGACAAUGGGCGAAAGCCUGAUCCAGCCAUGCCGCGUGUGUGAAGACGGUCUUCGGAUUGUAAAGCACUUUAAGUUGGGAGGAAGGGCAGUAAGCGAAUACCUUGCUGUUUUGACGUUACCGACAGAAUAAGCACCGGCUAACUCUGUGCCAGCAGCCGCGGUAAUACAGAGGGUGCAAGCGUUAAUCGGAAUUACUGGGCGUAAAGCGCGCGUAGGUGGUUCGUUAAGUUGAAUGUGAAAGCCCCGGGCUCAACCAGGGGACUGCAUCCAAAACUGGCGAGCUAGAGUAGGGCAGAGGGUGGUGGAAGUUCCUGUGUAGCGGUGAAAUGCGUAGAUAUAGGAAGGAACACCAGUGGCGAAGGCGACCACCUGGGCUCAUACUGACACUGAGGUGCGAAAGCGUGGGGAGCAAACAGG
This 429-nucleotide ribosomal RNA is filed under the name Pseudomonadota bacterium. RNAcentral's name for it is "Proteobacteria bacterium partial 16S ribosomal RNA". It matches the Rfam family "Bacterial small subunit ribosomal RNA", at positions 355 to 776 of the family's 1533-position model. Lineage: Bacteria; Pseudomonadati; Pseudomonadota. The record is from RNAcentral.